CAGCCGCCGCGGUAAUACGUAGGGGGCGAGCGUUACCCGGAUUCACUGGGCGUAAAGGGGGUGUAGGCGGCUCGGUAAGUCGGGUGUGAAAUCCCACGGCUCAACCGUGGAAUUGCGCCCGAAACUGCCGAGCUUGGGGCCGGUAGAGGGAGACGGAACUGCCGGUGUAGGGGUGAAAUCCGUAGAUAUCGGCAGGAACGCCGGUGGGGAAGCCGGUCUCCUGGGCCGCGCCCGACGCUGAGGCCCGAAAGCUAGGGGAGCAAACCGGAUUAGAUACCCGGGUAGUCCUAGCCGUAAACGAUGCCCACUAGGUGUGGGGGAGUAUUUCCUCCGUGCUGUAGCUAACGCGUUAAGUGGGCCGCCUGGGGAGUACGCCCGCAAGGGUGAGACUUAAAGGAAUUGGCGGG
RNAcentral lists this ribosomal RNA (407 nucleotides) under uncultured microorganism. RNAcentral's name for it is "bacterial SSU rRNA". It matches the Rfam family "Bacterial small subunit ribosomal RNA", at positions 509 to 917 of the family's 1533-position model. The record is from RNAcentral.